Molecule: ribosomal RNA, 641 nt
Filed under: uncultured euryarchaeote
Lineage: Archaea; Methanobacteriati; Methanobacteriota
Description: bacterial SSU rRNA
Rfam family: Archaeal small subunit ribosomal RNA
Source: RNAcentral
UCGCGAAAACUUCACAAUGGGGGCAACCCCGAUGAGGGAAUUCCUAGUGCUAGCACAUUUGUGUUAGCUUUUCUUUAGCUUAGAAAACUAGAGGAAUAAGGGCUGGGUAAGACGGGUGCCAGCCGCCGCGGUAAUACCUGCAGCCCAAGUGGUGGUCGAUUUUAUUGAGUCUAAAACGUUCGUAGCCGGUUCGGUAAAUCUUUGGGUAAAUCGGGGUGCUUAACCUUCCGACUUCCGAGGAGACUGCCGAACUUGGGACCGGGAGAGGCUAGAGGUACUUCUGGGGUAGGGGUAAAAUCCUGUAAUCCUAGAAGGACCACCGGUGGCGAAGGCGUCUAGCUAGAACGGAUCCGACGGUGAGGGACGAAGCCCUGGGUCGCAAACGGGAUUAGAUACCCCGGUAGUCCAGGGUGUAAACGCUGCAGACUUGGUGUUGGAGGCCCUUUGGGGGCAUUCAGUGCCGGAGAGAAGUUGUUAAGUCUGCUACUUGGGGAGUACGUCCGCAAGGAUGAAACUUAAAGGGAUUGGCGGGGGAGCACCGCAACGGGAGGAGCGUGCGGUUUAAUUGGAUUCAACACCGUAAAACUCACCAGGGAAGACUGUUACAUGAAGGCCGGGCUAAAGACUCUGCCAGAUUUUCA